CCCUUAGAUGUCCUGGGCCGCACGCGUGCUACACUGACACUUGCAACGAGUACUUUGCUUUACCGAAAGGUAAUGCUAAUCAUCAAUAAGUGUCGUGAUGGGGAUAGAUCUUUGGAAUUAUGGAUCUUGAACGAGGAAUGCCUAGUAAGCGUAGGUCAUUAGCCUACGCUGAUUAAGUCCCUGCCCUUUGUACACACCGCCCGUCGCUCCUACCGAUUUCGAGUGGUCCGGUGAAACUUUUGGACCGAGGCAGCUUGCUGUUUUGGAAAAUCAAGUAAACCACGUCACUUAGAGGAAGGAGAANUCGUANCA
Molecule: ribosomal RNA, 312 nt
Filed under: uncultured eukaryote
Lineage: Eukaryota
Description: partial 18S ribosomal RNA
Rfam family: Eukaryotic small subunit ribosomal RNA
Source: RNAcentral